CGGGUGAGUAAUGCUUGGGAAUCUAGCUUAUGGAGGGGGAUAACUACGGGAAACUGUAGCUAAUACCGCGUAGUAUCGGAAGAUGAAAAUGUGGGACCUUCGGGCCACAUGCCAUAGGAUGAGCCCAAGUGGGAUUAGGUAGUUGGUGAGGUAAAGGCUCACCAAGCCGACGAUCUCUAGCUGGUCUGAGAGGAUGACCAGCCACACUGGGACUGAGACACGGCCCAG
This 228-nucleotide ribosomal RNA is filed under the name uncultured bacterium. RNAcentral's name for it is "partial 16S ribosomal RNA". It matches the Rfam family "Bacterial small subunit ribosomal RNA", at positions 103 to 334 of the family's 1533-position model. The record is from RNAcentral.